This 273-nucleotide ribosomal RNA is filed under the name uncultured eukaryote. Its description in RNAcentral is "partial 18S ribosomal RNA". It matches the Rfam family "Eukaryotic small subunit ribosomal RNA", at positions 6 to 283 of the family's 1831-position model. The record is from RNAcentral.
GGUUGAUCCUGCCAGUAGUCAUAUGCUUGUCUCAAAGAUUAAGCCAUGCAUGUCUAAGUAUAAAUGCUUUAUACUGUGAAACUGCGAAUGGCUCAUUAAAUCAGUUAUUGUUUAUUUGAUGGUACCUUACUACUCGGAUACCCGUAGUAAUUCUAGAGCUAAUACGUGCGUAAAUCCCGACUCACGAAGGGACGUAUUUAUUAGAUAAAAGGCCGACCGUGCUUGCACGUCCUUGGUGACUCAUGAUAACCAUACGAAUCGCAGUGGCCUUGC